This 513-nucleotide ribosomal RNA is filed under the name uncultured Actinomycetes bacterium. RNAcentral's name for it is "bacterial SSU rRNA". It matches the Rfam family "Bacterial small subunit ribosomal RNA", at positions 38 to 537 of the family's 1533-position model. Lineage: Bacteria; Bacillati; Actinomycetota; Actinomycetes. The record is from RNAcentral.
GGCGGCGUGCUUAACACAUGCAAGUGGAGCGACGAACCGGGCUUCGGCCCGGGGCAAAGCCGCGAACGGGUGAGUAUCACGUGGGUAACCUGCCCCGAUGACCGGGAUAACCCGAGGAAACUCGAGCUAAUACCGGAUGUGCUCCCAAUCCAUCAGGGUUGGAAGUAAAGGAAGCUUCGGCCUCCGCAUUGGGAUGGGCCCGCGGCCCAUUAGCUUGUUGGUGAGGUAACGGCUCACCAAGGCAACGAUGGGUAGCUGGUCUGAGAGGACGAUCAGCCACACUGGGACUGAGACACGGCCCAGACUCCUACGGGAGGCAGCAGUGGGGAAUCUUGCGCAAUGCGCGAAAGCGUGACGCAGCAACGCCGCGUGAGGGAAGAAGGCCUUCGGGUUGUANACCUCUUUCAGGAGGGACGAAGGUUCAGGCGCGAAUAGCGUCCUGGACUGACGGUACCUCCAGAAGAAGCCCCGGCUAACUACGUGCCAGCAGCCGCGGUAAUACGUAGGGGGCUA